RNAcentral lists this ribosomal RNA (5038 nucleotides) under Triticum aestivum (bread wheat). Its description in RNAcentral is "partial small subunit ribosomal RNA". Lineage: Eukaryota; Viridiplantae; Streptophyta; Magnoliopsida; Poales; Poaceae. The record is from RNAcentral.
AGACGAUGAGAGGAUAUCCAACGACCAGCCUGCCAAGAGGCCAACGCCCGCCACACGCUCCCACCCUGACCUCGGCGCCGCCCGGCCGACCCGAAUGGCGACUCUCUCCGCCCCCUUGCUCCGUUCCCACCACCGUCACCUCCCCGUCCGCUCCUCGCCGCGCCGCUGCCCUUCCGCCGCCUUCCCGCGCGGGUUCGCUCCCCUCGAACCCCUCUCCUCCCGCGGGCCCUCACGCACCGCCGUCCGCUCCGCCUCGACCUCGGCAGCGGCACCGGAGGCCGCCGAGGCAACGGGAGGCGCGGCCCCGAGCGAAACGGCAGCGGAGGAGGAGGUGGUGGAGGCGCGCGUCGUGCUCCCCACCAACGAGUCCUCCGAGAACCUGCUGCGCAUCCGCCACACCUGUGCCCAUGUCAUGGCGAUGGCCGUCCAGAAGCUGUUCCCCAACUCCAAAGUGACCAUAGGCCCCUGGAUAGACAAUGGCUUCUACUACGACUUCGACAUGGAGCCCCUCACGGAUAAGGACCUCAAGAAGAUCAAGAAGGAGAUGGACCGAAUCAUUCGCCGGAACCUUCCAUUGGUGAGGGAGGAGGUGUCCAGGGAAGAGGCUCAAAAGAGGAUCCAAGCGCUUAACGAGCCAUAUAAGCUGGAGAUUUUGGAGAGAAUUAAGGAAGAACCCAUCACAAUUUAUCACAUUGGAGAAGAGUGGUGGGAUCUGUGUGCUGGCCCUCAUGUUGAGUCCACUGGCAAGAUACAGAGAAAGGCUGUUGAGCUCGAGUCUGUUGCUGGUGCUUACUGGAGAGGUGAUGAGAAUAAUCAAAUGCUACAAAGGAUAUAUGGGACUGCAUGGGAGAGUGAAGAUCAAUUGAAGGCUUACAUCCACUUCAAGGAGGAGGCCAAGCGCAGAGACCAUCGGCGACUAGGUCAGGACCUUGAUCUGUUCUCUAUACAGGAAGAUGCUGGUGGGGGUUUAGUAUUCUGGCAUCCAAAAGGUGCUAUCAUCAGACACAUUUUAGAAGAUUCGUGGAAACAAACUCACCUGCAACGUGGUUAUGAUCUAUUGUACACUCCACAUGUUGCGAAGGCUGAUCUCUGGAAGAUCAGUGGACAUAUAGAUUUCUACAAAGAGAAUAUGUACAACCAAAUGGAUGUAGAAGAUGAGCCAUAUCAACUUCGGCCCAUGAAUUGCCCUUACCACAUCUUGGUAUACAAGAGAAAGCUACAAUCAUACAGGGAUUUACCCAUCAGAGUGGCAGAGCUUGGAACUGUCUACAGAUACGAGCUCUCUGGUGCUCUGCACGGGCUGUUCCGCGUAAGAGGGUUCACACAGGAUGAUGCCCACAUAUUUUGUCUCGAAGACCAGAUAAAAGAUGAAAUUAGAGGAGUUCUUGAUUUAACUGAAGAAAUACUGGGGCAGUUUGGCUUCCGGAAUUUUGAGGUAAACCUUUCAACCAGGCCAGAAAAAUCUGUUGGCAGUGAGGACAUAUGGGAAAAGGCAACAAUUGCUCUGAAAGACGCACUAGAUGAUAAAGGAUGGGGAUACACGGUUGAUGAAGGGGGAGGUGCUUUCUAUGGUCCAAAAAUUGAUUUGAAAAUUGAGGACGCUCUUGGAAGAAAAUGGCAAUGUUCCACCGUGCAGGUUGACUUCAAUUUGCCUGAACGGUUUGACAUCACUUAUAUUGACUCGCAUACUGAGAAGAAACGGCCUAUCAUGAUUCAUAGAGCCAUCCUUGGGUCUUUGGAGCGAUUUUUUGGCAUCCUCAUUGAAAACUACGCUGGUGAUUUUCCACUUUGGCUUGCUCCAACCCAAGCCCGUAUUCUGCCUGUCACAAACAAUGAGUUGCAGUACUGUAAUGAGGUGGCUUCAGAGCUGAAAUCGAGAGGUAUCCGCGCCGAGGUAUGCCACGGCGAACGUCUGCCGAAGUUAAUCAGAAACGCCGAAACACAAAAGGUGCCGCUCAUGGCGGUCGUUGGCCCCAAAGAAGUCGAGGCCAGGACGCUCACCAUCAGGUCCCGGCAUAACGGGGAGAUGGGCACCAUGCCCGUCGACGAUUUCAUCAGCAAAAUCCAAUCGGCCGUUGCUGACAAAUCUUCCCUGUAGAUAUCCCAGUCUGUUAAAACUUCAGUUCAUAUCGUAGAGCAGUAGAUCUUCUGCUGCACAUACACCGUACAGCGCCCACCGGAGUGCUUCCGACGAAACCGAGCGACGGAGGUCCAACAAUUUUGUGCAGAAUUGCCAUCACGACACACUAUAUAGUCAGCAACAGAAGCCCAGCAUUCUUGAUUGUACAUAGUUUGUGACCAGACCACAUUUCAGUGCAAGUUUUCAGCUAGACCUUCUUGCAGCUCCUUAUACAAUCACGUCGAUAAUAUUACAGAAAUGAUGCGACUGCAAUCUGCACUGCACCUGCACAUCAUUGGCAUUUCAUGAAUCUCCAGGCAGCGGUGAUCUUGAUUAGACGGGCGAAACCCAGCAGGAUGGAUGCGCGGGCGCAUUUGCCGCGACGUUUGCCUGGUCGGCAGACAAACUGUAAUGGCCACUUGCCGCUGCAGAGCGAGCAAUUGUGUGCGGUGCUGAGUCGUUAAGUCGUGCCGCCGAGAUGAAUUGGUCUGUCUGCGCCUGUGAGGCGGGGGGCCCCGACCCGAUUGAUUGGGGCGUCACUCGCUGCGGGUGGGAGGGCGUUGUGCGGAUCUAUGAUUGGAGCGUGAUGGACGGACCGAAUUUUACCGGGCAAGUCCGACAACACCUGGGACAAAAACCUGCAGGCUGGAGGACACUGGGAUAGGUAACUUCUCCACCCCAGUCCCAGAUCAGAUCUUCACUUACCCCGCGGCGUCCGUAAAAGAUCCAGCGGCAGCAUAAAAGUGGUGGGACCACGUAGCAGAGGAGCGCAUGCUCAUACACACAAGAAAUAACUCAAUUUUACAGAGCCGUCAUCUUCCUGGGUGGAAAAGAUGGAGAAACGUGAAUUACCUCUAGAGAUAAGAGGUAAAGCCUUUUCAGCUAUUUGUAAUUCGCGAUUUAAUCAUGAGGCGCUGCACUUCUAAUGUCAGGAUUGCUAAAGGGAAAAUUAAUUGCGUAAGAAAUGAAGAGACCGUAGAUCUUUAGACAGAAAGGCAUUCUUCCUUGUAGUAUUAAAUAAAUCAAAAGCCCACAUCGAAUUGAGCAAGUUUGCUUGGUUUGCCAGCUUACAAAUUAUGCGCGGCACCGUUUUUCGGUUGCAUUCACAGCAAUGCUUUUCUUUUUCUUUUUGAGAAACACAGCAAUGAUCCGUGAGAUACGGAAAAGAAAAAGGCCCAUUAAUCUGCACUAACUCGACUACAUCUUUUUUUUAGCAGGAACUCGGCUCUAUCUACGAGCAGGGGUUCUCAGUUCUCACACAUGAUCGACAAUAAAACGCCCCAACUAACGCUGGUGGUACAGUUGUACCAGCGCGCGCCGUGCCGUGCCGCGAGCGGGAGGGCUUCUUCCGUCGUGACCAUCACGUCGCCUCCACCACUCCCCUGGUCUCCUCCCUCCCUCCACCACCACCCUCGCCCGCAGAGGAAUUAAAACCUCCUUAUCCUCUCUGGCGCGCUGCUGCCAUUGCACCCCUAGCUGCCUGGAUCCAACCGUCCCGUCCCUCGCCCCUUCCCUCUCUGAUCCGUGCGCUCUCCUUUUGGAGCCUUGCGCCGCGCCCCUUUCUCCCUGUCCCAAUCCGCUUCGACGUCCCUCCUCUACCGGCGCGUUCUCUCCUUUUGGUGCCCCCCAGCGAGCGAGCUCUCGGUGCCCGUGCCACCGCCCCUUUUGCCACGCUCUCCUCUUUUUGUCUCCACCUUCUUGGCUAGCCGUUGAAGGGGCAGCCAUUGUUGCGCAGCCGGUGAGGUGAGCUGAGGAGGAUGUCGUCCGCGGUGGAAGCCAUCUCCUGCUCCAAGGUCGCCGACAUCGCCGCGGCCGGGCCUGCGGAGGCCAAGGAGUGCGCGGCGGCGGUGGCGGAGCACGGCAACGGCAACGGCGGGGCCGGGGACGCCGCGGCGACGAACGGGAAGAAGUGCGGCGGCGACGUCGCGGCGCCGCCGCAUUGCGGCAAGGGCGUGGAGGAGGAGGAGGACGAGGACGGCGAGAAGGUCCCCGAGCACAUCGACCUCGGCCCUAUCCUCAGCAUCAAGGACCAGCUCGAGAAGGACAAGGACGACGAGAGCCUGAGGAGGUGGAAGGAGCAGCUGCUCGGCAGCGUGGAUUUGAACUCCGUGGGAGAGACGCUGGAGCCGGACGUGAAGAUCAUGAGCCUGUCCAUCCAGUCCCCGGGGCGGCCGGACAUCUUCCUGCCGCUGCCGGUGGAGCCCACCAGCGGCAAGGGGGUGUGGUUCACCCUCAAGGAGGGCUCCCCGUACAAGCUCAAGUUCACCUUCUCCGUCAGCAACAACAUCGUCUCCGGCCUCCGCUACACCAACACCGUCUGGAAGACCGGCAUCAAAGUUGACAGCACAAAGGAGAUGCUGGGCACGUUCAGCCCGCAGCCGGAGCCGUACGCGUACGUGACGCCGGAGGAGACCACGCCGUCCGGGAUGUUUGCCCGGGGAUCCUACUCUGCCAAGACCAAGUUCCUGGACGACGACCGGAAGUGCUACCUGCAGAUCAACUACACCUUCGACAUACGCCGGGAGUGGCCGUCGUCAAGCUGAGCCUUCGUCCAGUCCGGUCCGCCGCCGUGUACAAGUGAGACGUGCCUGCCUGCCUGCCUUGGUUACUACUGCUGCCGUUGAAGCAGACUGGUCUUUGUUUCGUUUGCGUUUUACUACUACCUGUUUUUUCGUGGUUGCCCUUAGGGCUAUUGUCUCCUGUGCGUCUGUGUAAAUUUGGUUCGGUUGAUUGUACGUCGUAGAGGCCAUUCGUCUGUCCGCGUGUGUGUUUGAGCUUUGCCAGGGUCUGUUUUGAAGAACGAACUGUCAUGUUGAGUUCAUGUAUAAUGCACCAGAGCAACGCGGCUGCGCGCACUUCGUGUAAUGCUCAAGAAAGAAAGAAUAUCUGCCACUCACAUUCUGAAGGUUGGGAUUCAUC